AGGUUUUUAAUCUAAUUAAGAUAAUUGAUUUCGACUCAAUUAAUCAUGGUUUUACUCCAUGAAUACCUU
This 69-nucleotide transfer RNA is filed under the name Murexia melanurus (Black-tailed dasyure). RNAcentral's name for it is "Murexechinus melanurus (Black-tailed dasyure) tRNA-Arg". It matches the Rfam family "tRNA". Rfam says of the family: Transfer RNA (tRNA) molecules are approximately 80 nucleotides in length. Their secondary structure includes four short double-helical elements and three loops (D, anti-codon, and T loops). Further hydrogen bonds mediate the characteristic L-shaped molecular structure. tRNAs have two regions of fundamental functional importance: the anti-codon, which is responsible for specific mRNA codon recognition, and the 3' end, to which the tRNAs corresponding amino acid is attached (by aminoacyl-tRNA synthetases). tRNAs cope with the degeneracy of the genetic code in two manners: having more than one tRNA (with a specific anti-codon) for a particular amino acid; and 'wobble' base-pairing, i.e. permitting non-standard base-pairing at the 3rd anti-codon position. The record is from RNAcentral. Lineage: Eukaryota; Metazoa; Chordata; Mammalia; Dasyuromorphia; Dasyuridae.